Molecule: ribosomal RNA, 253 nt
Filed under: uncultured bacterium
Lineage: Bacteria
Description: partial 16S ribosomal RNA
Rfam family: Bacterial small subunit ribosomal RNA
Source: RNAcentral
UACGUAGGUGGCAAGCGUUAUCCGGAAUUAUUGGGCGUAAAGCGCGCGCAGGCGGUUUCUUAAGUCUGAUGUGAAAGCCCACGGCUCAACCGUGGAGGGUCAUUGGAAACUGGGGAACUUGAGUGCAGAAGAGAAAAGCGGAAUUCCACGUGUAGCGGUGAAAUUCGUAGAUAUCGGGAGGAACACCAGUGGCGAAGGCGGCGACCUGGGCCAAUAUUGACGCUGAGGUGCGAAAGCGUGGGGAGCAAACAGG